This 468-nucleotide ribosomal RNA is filed under the name uncultured bacterium. Its description in RNAcentral is "partial 16S ribosomal RNA". It matches the Rfam family "Bacterial small subunit ribosomal RNA", at positions 28 to 507 of the family's 1533-position model. The record is from RNAcentral.
GACGAACGCUGGCGGUGUGCUUAACACAUGCAAGUCGAACGGUAAGGCCCUUUCGGGGGUACACGAGUGGCGAACGGGUGAGUAACACGUGAGUAACCUGCCCUCAUCUCUGGGAUAACAGUCGGAAACGGUUGCUAAUACUGGAUAUGAGCUUGCAAGGCAUCUUGUGGGUUGGAAAGAUUUUUUUUGGUUGGGGAUGGACUCGCGGCCUAUCAGCUUGUUGGUGAGGUAGUGGCUCACCAAGGCUUCGACGGGUAGCCGGCCUGAGAGGGCGACCGGCCACAUUGGGACUGAGAUACGGCCCAAACUCCUACGGGAGGCAGCAGUGGGGAAUAUUGCACAAUGGACGGAAGUCUGAUGCAGCAACGCCGCGUGCGGGAUGACGGCCUUCGGGUUGUAAACCGCUUUCAAUUGUGACGAAGCUUUUUCGUGACGGUAGCAGUAGAAGAAGCACCGGCUAACUACGUG